This 288-nucleotide ribosomal RNA is filed under the name uncultured Anaerococcus sp. Its description in RNAcentral is "partial 16S ribosomal RNA". The record is from RNAcentral. Lineage: Bacteria; Bacillati; Bacillota; Tissierellia; Tissierellales; Peptoniphilaceae.
CUACCCGGGUUUCUAAUCCUGUUUGCUACCCACGCUUUCGUACCUCAGCGUCAGUUAAUGGCCAGAAAGUCGCCUUCGCCACCGGUAUUCCUCCUAAUAUCUGCGCAUUCCACCGCUACACUAGGAAUUCCACUUUCCCUUCCAUUACUCAAGGUCUCCAGUUUUAGAAGCUUACUAUAGUUGAGCUAUAGCCUUUGACUUCUAACUUAAUGACCCGCCUACGUACCCUUUACGCCCAAUGAUUCCGGACAACGCUCGGUCCUUACGUAUUACCGCGGCUGCUGGCAC